AGUGAACGCUGGCGGUAGGCCUAACACAUGCAAGUCGAACGGCAGCACAGUAAGAGCUUGCUCUUACGGGUGGCGAGUGGCGGACGGGUGAGGAAUACAUCGGAAUCUACUUUUUCGUGGGGGAUAACGUAGGGAAACUUACGCUAAUACCGCAUACGACCUACGGGUGAAAGCAGGGGAUCUUCGGACCUUGCGCGAUUGAAUGAGCCGAUGCCGGAUUAGCUAGUUGGCGGGGGAAAGGCCCACCAAGGCGACGAGCCGUAGCUGGUCUGAGAGGAUGAUCAGCCACACUGGAACUGAGACACGGUCCAGACUCCUACGGGAGGCAGCAGUGGGGAAUAUUGGACAAUGGGCGCAAGCCUGAUCCAGCCAUACCGCGUGGGUGAAGAAGGCCUUCGGGUUGUAAAGCCCUUUUGUUGGGAAAGAAAAGCAGCAGGUUAAUACCCCGCUGUUCUGACGGUACCCAAAGAAUAAGCACCGGCUAACUUCGUG
This 492-nucleotide ribosomal RNA is filed under the name uncultured bacterium. Its description in RNAcentral is "partial 16S ribosomal RNA". It matches the Rfam family "Bacterial small subunit ribosomal RNA", at positions 29 to 507 of the family's 1533-position model. The record is from RNAcentral.